GCAGACAGCCAGAACGAAUGUGCGCGCUUGAGCAUUUAGGCCUAUAUUGUUUCAUUUCUUUUUUUCAUUCUUUGAAUUAGUUCAUUCUAUUCAUUUAAAUCUUUUGAUUAUUCAUUUCUUAAUUUUGGGAUAUUUUUAUAAAUAGAUUCGGCUCUUCUGAUAUGCGAGCCGGCUCCCAACAUUCACCUACAAGAGCCGGCUCGUUCGCGAACGACCCAUCACUUCUUUAUAUUGUCAUCAAUAUUAAAAAAGAAGUGCAGAACAAGCCGUUUUAGUUUACUGCAAUUGUUUCUAAAACCGUAAUGCCACCAUAAACAGUAAGAGAUGACAGCGCCAGUGGUGAACCUUCUUUUGCUGCGUGUGGAUUCCUGGGUCUCUACCAUGUGGAGCCAUACUGAGACAUGGAGACAAGCUGCUGGGCUCUCUCAGGGCAUGUGCUGGAGCUCUGGUGGCUGCAGUGAUGAUCACUGCUCCAGACAAACUAGAGGGAGGACAUCGAGGAGUUUCUGCCUGGUGAUGCCCACAGUAAAGCAGGCAAUCGCCUUCACAUCUCAAUAACGCAUUCAAAAAGUGGCAAGAACACCAUCCUAUCCAGUUUAGCCUCCAGGGAGGACCUCAUAAAGCUAGCCUGCCACAAGCCUGAGCAGAUUAUAUUACUGUAUCUUACUAUAAACCUUGGCUUUAACACAAAAUGUUGUCGUAAAUGUUUAUGAGGAGCACGGCCAUUGUUUUCAUAUCUUGCAAUAUGUUUGGGUCAAGGAACAUUUCAAAAUCUCUUUCACUACAUAUUUUUGGAUUUGGUCUUGGUUGCUUCUUUUAAUUUAAGGCACUCUUAGCCAGUCGUUUUGUGCCUGUCUAUGCUGGAAUCAAACCGGUGGAAUGACAAGGACAGGUAAUAACUUUAGCUGCAUCUCAAACUCAACCCAUGGACGUUAUCCUUUACGAGCUUACUGUUACUUUUUUUUGGUUUAUUCAUUUUCUGCCCAAAACACAGAGGGCUCAUGAACCUCCCCCUCAAACUGGCCAACAUGGACGUAAUGGUUAUUACAUGUUCACAGGGAUACAGACAGUACACAUAGACAAGUGUGUGUAUAGCAUUCAGGGAAUGGUUUUGCACAUCAUUUUGCAUGAUGCAGAACUGUAAUUUAGUGGCUGCCUGAACAGUUAUUUUGCAGUAUAUAAAUUGGUUUGAU
This is a long non-coding RNA of Oncorhynchus kisutch (coho salmon), 1193 nucleotides long. RefSeq lists it as uncharacterized. The transcript is spliced from 3 exons. The record is from RefSeq and is a predicted model, not a curated record. Lineage: Eukaryota; Metazoa; Chordata; Actinopteri; Salmoniformes; Salmonidae.